Molecule: ribosomal RNA, 834 nt
Filed under: Ephemerocybe maritima
Lineage: Eukaryota; Fungi; Basidiomycota; Agaricomycetes; Agaricales; Psathyrellaceae
Description: Tulosesus maritimus partial large subunit ribosomal RNA
Rfam family: Eukaryotic large subunit ribosomal RNA
Source: RNAcentral
UGAAGCGGGAAAAGCUCAAAUUUAAAAUCUGGUGGUCUUUGGCCAUCCGAGUUGUAAUCUAGAGAAGUGUUACCCGCGUCGGACCGUGUACAAGUCUCCUGGAAUGGAGCGUCAUAGAGGGUGAGAAUCCCGUCUUUGACACGGACUACCGAGGCUUUGUGGUGCGCUCUCAAAGAGUCGAGUUGUUUGGGAAUGCAGCUCAAAAUGGGUGGUAAAUUCCAUCUAAAGCUAAAUAUUGGCGAGAGACCGAUAGCGAACAAGUACCGUGAGGGAAAGAUGAAAAGAACUUUGGAAAGAGAGUUAAACAGUACGUGAAAUUGCUGAAAGGGAAACGCUUGAAGUCAGUCGCGUUGGCCGGAAAUCAGCCUUGGUUCUCCAUGGUGUAUUUUCUGGUUGACGGGCCAGCAUCAGUUUUGACCGGUGGAAAAAGUUGGAGGGAAUGUGGCAUCUUCGGAUGUGUUAUAGCCCUUCUUCGUAUACAUCGGUUGGGACUGAGGAACUCAGCACGCCGCAAGGCCGGGAUUCGUCCACGUUCGUGCUUAGGAUGCUGGCAUAAUGGCUUUAAUCGACCCGUCUUGAAACACGGACCAAGGAGUCUAACAUGCCUGCGAGUGUUUGGGUGGAAAACCCGGACGCGUAAUGAAAGUGAAAGUCGAGAUCCUUGUCAUGGGGAGCAUCGACGCCCGGACCAGAAGUUUACGGACGGUUCUGCGGUAGAGCAUGUAUGUUGGGACCCGAAAGAUGGUGAACUAUGCCUGAAUAGGGUGAAGCCAGAGGAAACUCUGGUGGAGGCUCGUAGCGAUUCUGACGUGCAAAUCGAUCGUCAAAUUUGGG